RNAcentral lists this ribosomal RNA (274 nucleotides) under uncultured bacterium. RNAcentral describes it as "partial 16S ribosomal RNA". It matches the Rfam family "Archaeal small subunit ribosomal RNA", at positions 473 to 747 of the family's 1478-position model. The record is from RNAcentral.
AAACCAGCACCUCAAGUGGUCAGGAUGAUUAUUGGGCCUAAAGCAUCCGUAGCCGGCUCUGUAAGUUUUCGGUUAAAUCUGUACGCUUAACGUACAGGCUGCUGGGAAUACUGCAGGGCUAGGGAGUGGGAGAGGUAGACGGUACUCGGGAGGAAGUGGUAAAAUGCUUUGAUCUCUCGAUGACCACCUGUGGCGAAGGCGGUCUACCAGAACACGUCCGACGGUGAGGGAUGAAAGCUGGGGGAGCAAACCGGAUUAGAAACCCCGGUAGUCC